GGAUGCGUGGCUUAGUGCAAAGAGCACGGGCUUGAGAGUUAGAGGUCGUGGGUUCUAAUCCCACCUCUGCCA
Non-coding RNA from Ornithorhynchus anatinus (platypus), 72 nucleotides. Lineage: Eukaryota; Metazoa; Chordata; Mammalia; Monotremata; Ornithorhynchidae. The record is from Rfam.